RNAcentral lists this transfer RNA (74 nucleotides) under Prunus dulcis (almond). RNAcentral's name for it is "tRNA-Ile". The record is from RNAcentral. Lineage: Eukaryota; Viridiplantae; Streptophyta; Magnoliopsida; Rosales; Rosaceae.
GGGGAAAAAUCAAUAUACUUCUAAUGUCGAAUCAGGAUCAACUAGGACAGAAAUAAAGCAUUGGUUCGAACUCU